UACGUAGGGGGCAAGCGUUGUCCGGAAUUAUUGGGCGUAAAGAGCGCGUAGGCGGUCCGGUAAGUCGGUUGUGAAAGUCGGGGGCUCAACCCUCGGAUGCCGAUCGAUACUGUCGGGCUAGAGUCCGGAAGAGGCGAGUGGAAUUCCUGGUGUAGCGGUGAAAUUCGUAGAUAUUCGGAAGAACACCAGUGGCGAAGGCGGCUCACUGGUCCGGUACUGACGCUGAGGUGCGAAAGCGUGGGGAGCAAACGGG
RNAcentral lists this ribosomal RNA (253 nucleotides) under uncultured bacterium. RNAcentral's name for it is "partial 16S ribosomal RNA". It matches the Rfam family "Bacterial small subunit ribosomal RNA", at positions 524 to 776 of the family's 1533-position model. The record is from RNAcentral.